UCAACCAGGGGGCUUAGCCCACUGGCCACCGGGUCCUCACUUAAGUGAAGUGACCCGGGUUCGAUCCCUCUUGGGAACGAAUUGGUGAUUGGAGAUAUAAGGUGGAGUUUGGUGAAGGGAGAGAUAAGGUGGUUCUUGGAGUGGAUGGGGAACUAACUACUAACAUCUAACAUGACUUUGACCGAUCAAAAAAAAAAAAA
This 200-nucleotide long non-coding RNA is filed under the name Salvia miltiorrhiza (redroot sage). Its description in RNAcentral is "long non-coding RNA (SMIL_LNC009862)". The record is from RNAcentral. Lineage: Eukaryota; Viridiplantae; Streptophyta; Magnoliopsida; Lamiales; Lamiaceae.